RNAcentral lists this transfer RNA (65 nucleotides) under Terrapotamon thungwa. RNAcentral describes it as "tRNA-Leu". Lineage: Eukaryota; Metazoa; Arthropoda; Malacostraca; Decapoda; Potamidae. The record is from RNAcentral.
ACUAUUUUGGCAGAUAAUAUGCAUUAAAUUUAGGAUUUAAUUAUAUAGGGGUUCUAUAGGUAGUU